CAGCAGCCGCGGUAAUACGAAGGGUGCAAGCGUUACUCGGAAUUACUGGGCGUAAAGCGUGCGUAGGUGGUGGUUUAAGUCCGUUGUGAAAGCCCUGGGCUCAACCUGGGAAUUGCAGUGGAUACUGGGUCACUAGAGUGUGGUAGAGGAUAGUGGAAUUUCCGGUGUAGCAGUGAAAUGCGUAGAGAUCGGAAGGAACAUCUGUGGCGAAGGCGACUAUCUGGGCCGACACUGACACUGAGGCACGAAAGCGUGGGGAGCAAACAGGAUUAGAUACCCCCGUAGUCCCUGUCUCUUAUAU
This 301-nucleotide ribosomal RNA is filed under the name uncultured bacterium. Its description in RNAcentral is "partial 16S ribosomal RNA". It matches the Rfam family "Bacterial small subunit ribosomal RNA", at positions 509 to 809 of the family's 1533-position model. The record is from RNAcentral.